This 200-nucleotide ribosomal RNA is filed under the name uncultured bacterium. RNAcentral's name for it is "partial 16S ribosomal RNA". It matches the Rfam family "Bacterial small subunit ribosomal RNA", at positions 29 to 256 of the family's 1533-position model. The record is from RNAcentral.
AGCGAACGCUGGCGGCAGGCCUAACACAUGCAAGUCGAACGGAUCCUUCGGGAUUAGUGGCGGACGGGUGAGUAACACGUGGGAACGUGCCUUUUGGUUCGGAACAACUCAGGGAAACUUGAGCUAAUACCGGAUGUGCCCUUCGGGGGAAAGAUUUAUCGCCAUUAGAGCGGCCCGCGUCUGAUUAGUUUGUUGGUGAG